CCCUUAGAUGUCCUGGGCCGCACGCGCGUUACACUGAUGCAUUCAACGAGCUUAUAACCUUGGCCGAGAGGCCUGGGCAAUCUUGUUAACGUGCAUCGUGAUAGGGAUAGAUUAUUGAAAUUAUUAAUCUUGAACGAGGAAUGCCUAGUAGGCGCAAGUCAUCAGCUUGCGUCGAUUACGUCCCUGCCCUUUGUACACACCGCCCGUCGCUCCUACCGAUUGGGUGUGCUGGUGAAAUGUUCGGAUCGGCCGUUUGUCGCGGUUUCCGCGUCAUGUGGCUGAGAAGUUCAUUAAACCCUCCCACCUAGAGGAAGGAGAAGUCGUAACA
This 328-nucleotide ribosomal RNA is filed under the name uncultured eukaryote. Its description in RNAcentral is "partial 18S ribosomal RNA". It matches the Rfam family "Eukaryotic small subunit ribosomal RNA", at positions 1470 to 1796 of the family's 1831-position model. The record is from RNAcentral.